GCAUUCUAUUAGGUUGGUGCAAAAGUAAUUGCGGCUUUUGCCACUGAAAGUAAUUAUAAGAACCACAAUUACUUUUGCACCAACUUAA
Molecule: microRNA precursor, 88 nt
Filed under: Aotus nancymaae (Ma's night monkey)
Lineage: Eukaryota; Metazoa; Chordata; Mammalia; Primates; Aotidae
Description: miRNA (ENSANAG00000000671.1)
Source: RNAcentral